AGUAGCAUGGUAGAAUUGUAUAGGUAAUACUUAUAAAAAUAAAGAAGGUAUUAAUGCAUAUGUACUCAAAGAAAUGUUACAUACCCCCAAUACUAGUUCAUCUAGAAAAGUAGUAUAGAUUAAUAAUUCUCAUUCUGACAGAAAAUUAAUGAGAAAACACCGACCUGCAUAACAGAGAAGUAAACCAAGGAGAGAAGUAAACCAAGGAGUUCCCGUCAUGGCUCAGUGGUUAACAAAUCCGACUAGGAACCAUGAGGUUGCAGGUAUGAUCCCUGGCCUCGCUCCGUGGGUUAAGGAUCCUACAUUACUGUGGCUGUGGUGUAGGCCAAGGCCAGUGGCUACAGCUCCGAUUAGACCCCUAGCCUGGGAACCUCCACAUGCUUUGGGUGCAGCCCUAGAAAAGACAGACAAAAAAAAAAAAAAAAAAAAAAAAGAAAAAAGAAAGAAAAGAAAGUAAACCUAAUGGAAAUAUACAGAACAUUUCAUCCAAGGACCCCAGAAAACACAUUCUUCUCAAGGGGACAUAAAACAUUCCUUAGGAUAUAGCAUUCCUGGGCCACAAAGCUAAUCUUAACACAUUUAAAAUUAAAAUCAUAUCUCAGCUUUUCAACCACAAUAAUAGGGACUAGAAACCAACAGGAAAAAAAUCUGAAAAAUUUACAAAUACAUAGAAAGUAAACAACACUCUCAAAUAACCAGUGGGUCAAAAUAGAAAUUGAAAGAAAUCACUAACUUGAAAAGAAUAAAAUAAAAAUACAAAAUAACACAAUUUAGGGAAUAUAUCAAAAGUAGUUCUUAUGUGACUACAUUUUUUUUUUUUUCCGUCUUUUUAGAGCCAUACCUGUGCCUGGGAACCUCCAUAUGCCAUGAGUGCAGCCCUAAAAGGACAAAAGACAANAAAAAAAAAAAAAAAAAAAAAAAAAAAAAAUCUGAUGAAUGACAGAGGAGACAUCAAAGAAAUACAGAAGACUGUAAGAGUAUAUUAUUAACAAUUACACACCAAAUAAUUAGAUAGAAAUUCCCAGAUGCAUGAAGCCUACCAAGCCUAAAUCAUGAAUACAAAGUCUGAACAGACUAAUAAUAAACAAGGACAUUGAAAUAAUAAACACAAAACUCCCAACAAAGAAAAGCCCAAGACCAAAUGGUUUCACUGGUGAAUUCUACCAAACAUUAAAAAAUAACACCAAUCACUGUCAAACUCUUCCCAAAAAAUUGAGGGAACAGUCCUAAGCUCUUUUUAUGAGGAGAGCAUUACUCUGACAACAAACCCAGAUAAGGAAGCCUAUACAAAAAUAAAUGUAUAGGCUGAAAUGCUUAAUGAAUAUAAAUGCAAAAAUUUCUCAGCAAAAGUCUAACCAAAUUCAACAGUUUAUUAUAAAUAUCAUCCACUGUGAUCAAGUGGAAUUUAUCCCUGCAUGGAAGGAUGGCACGAUACCGCUAUAUAUGACAUGAUAAGGGUGAUACACAAUGUUAAUAGAAAGAAUAAUAAAUAUAUGAUCCUUUCAACAGAGGUAGAAAAAGCUAUUAACAAAAUUCAAUACUCUUUUAUGAUAAAUGCUCUCAGCAGAUUGAGAACAAAAGGAACAUACCUCAAAAUAACACCAUAUAACACACACCCACAACUAACUGUGUACUCAGUGGUGAAGAACUCAAAGCUUUUCCUUUAUAAUUGGAAAUAAGAUAAGGGUACCCACACUCACUACUCUUACUAAAGACAGUGCCAAAAUCCUAAGCAGAGCAAUCCCACACAAAAAUAAGAAAAAGGCAUCUAAAAUGAAGAGGAAAAAGUAAAGCUUCCCUAUUUUCAGAAAACCUGAUCUUACAUAUAUGAUUCCUCCCAAAAAAAUGGUAAAACUAAUAAAUGAAUUCAACAAAGUUGUAGGAUACAGCAUCAACAUAACAAAAAUCAAUUGCAUUUCUAUAUACUACUAAUAAAACAUCUGAAAGAAAUAAUUCCAUUUACAAUUGCAUGAGAAAAAUACCGAGGAAUAAAUUUAACUGAAAAAUGAAAGACCUGUGUAAUGAAAAUUACAAGACAUUAAGGAAAGAAAUCGAAGACAACACAAAUAAAUGUUAAGAUAGCCUUUGCUCAUGAAUUAAGAGAAUAUUGUUAUAAAUGUCCAUACUUCUCGAAGCAAUGUACAGGUUCAAUGAAGUCCUCGUCAAAAUUUCAGUAGCUUUUUUCACAGAAAUAGAACAAAAGGAAUUCUAAAAUUUGCAUGGAACCACACUGGAAUCAAAAUAGCAAAAGUGAUGCUAAAAAAGAAAAAAACUGGAGGCUUCCUGCUCUAAGAUUUCAAACCGUAUUACAAAGCUAUGGCAAUAAAAAUAGUAUGGCAUUGACCCAAACACAAAGAUCCCUGGAGAAAACACUACAGAAAUAAACCUAAGCAUAUAUAAUCAAUUUAUGACAAAGGAGCCAAGAAUAUAAAAUAGGGAGAUAUACUAAUCUCUUUAAUAGAUGUUGUUGGUAAAACUGGGAGCUCAUUCUACCACGUGUACACCGGUGCUGGCAAAUGCCACUUUGGAAACCUCCUUCUAGCUUAUAGCCCCAACACCCAGCCCUGUCCAGAGCAACACCCUAGAGGAGCCAAUAGUGGGAUGCCUCAGGACAAGCAACCAACACAGCAUGGACACAGCAUCACCCACUGGCAGAAAGAUUGCCUUACAACCCUGUAAGCCCACAAUCACCCCAGACAUGAUCCUACCCAUUAGAGGGCCCAGGACCUGGUCCCAUGCUCUAGUGCACAGACACUCAACCCAAGACUCUCAGAGGCCUGUAGCCAGAGAACCUGGGACCCACUUCCAACCAACAGUGGGCAAGCACCAUUCUCAGGAUCCCAUGGGCCUGAGCCACACCCUCUAGUGUACCUGCCCUAACCUCAGUACCAGCUUCCCCAUCUAGGGGUGGAUACCAGCCAUAGGAAAACCAUAGCUCUGCAGUCUGUGGAUAUGGCCCACCUACCAGGAGACCAGAUCAUGCCCUGGGACUGGCUGGGCCCCAGCACUACCCACCAGUAAGUAUACUCUAGUCUCAGGCUCAGCUUCACACACUAGUAGGCAGAUACCAGGUACAAGAAACUGUAGCCCCACAGCCUGCAGACAUAGCCCACCCAUUAGCAUGCCAGGAUCAUUUCCUGGGACCAGCUUGGCUCUGGCCCCAAUCACUAGCAGUAUUAAGAGAAGGUUUAAGACACCCUGGGCCUGCAGUGAGCUAUGUCAGAAAGUAAUGCCACCCAUCAAUGAUCCAAUACAAAUUUGGGGACCUGCAAUCAGACUCCAGGACCUGGCUUAUUCACAGCAGGUGGCCAACAGCCCUGGGGUUUCCUGGAUUAGCAUUACCGGCUAACUCCACCCACACGUAAUGCAGCACUAGCCUGGGUUCCCCCAGGGUUCUGCAGUAAGCCACCUCCUGCAUGGUCCUAACAACCAGUAGCUAGCCAGAGGCAUCUGCACAAGGCAGGAGCCAGCAGCCAACCAGACCAGGGGCCAACCAUGCCUACCAGAGCACCCUCUAGUGAGCCCGCCACAACAGAAACACCCAUGCUGCUCUCAUAGGGAAAACUUCUAGAGCAUAAAGCUCUUAAUGAGAAGGGACUGUACUGCUGGGACACAUAGUAUGGCACCUGCAAAAGGUCACUUGUCCAACACUGGGAAACGUAACAAAUCUAUGAGAUACUAAAACUAUGAACAGCAAAAUGAGGGUGACAAAGGAACAUGUUCCAACCAAAGGAACAAGAUAAAACCCCAAAAGAACUAGGUGGAGAACGGCAGUCUACUCAAGAAUUUAGUGAUCAUAAAGAUGAUUGAAGAACUCAGGAGAAGAAUGUGUGCAAAGAAUAGUCAGAAAUUUUUAACAAAAUUUUAGAACAUAUAAUCAGAGAUGAAGAAUAAAGUAAGUGAAAUGAAAAACACGCUAGAAGGAAUCAACAGUAGAUUGAAUGAUACCGAGAGAUGGAUCUGGAAGACAGUAGUGGAAACCAUGAUAC
RNAcentral lists this long non-coding RNA (3989 nucleotides) under Sus scrofa (pig). Its description in RNAcentral is "lncRNA (ENSSSCG00045004616.1)". Lineage: Eukaryota; Metazoa; Chordata; Mammalia; Artiodactyla; Suidae. The record is from RNAcentral.